This is a long non-coding RNA of Austrofundulus limnaeus, 455 nucleotides long. RefSeq lists it as uncharacterized. The transcript has 2 exons. The record is from RefSeq and is a predicted model, not a curated record. NCBI's taxonomy places the organism in Eukaryota, Metazoa, Chordata, Actinopteri, Cyprinodontiformes, Rivulidae.
UUAGUUGGUUAGUUUAUGUUAGUUGGUUAGUUUAUGUUAAUGGUUAGUUUAGAGUUUAGGUUAGCUGGUUAGUUUCAGGCGCUCAGAAAGGAGGGACCACCCAGACCUGACUACUGGAUCAGACAAUAUUUUAUGGAUGUUCAGGCCCACCAACUCCACUUUUAAAUCACUCCAUCCCAUCCUCCCGCUCCUCUUCGCCUGUCUGCCCCCGUUGCCAGGGAAACGGCAGCCCCAGCCCUCCAGUUGUUAAUCUGAUGACAUCGUCUUUCUGUUAUUACCUGCGGGUCAGAUGUCUGAUAGGAGGAAGCCGACGUGGGAAACCAUGGAAAAGUGUCGGCCUUUCUUACGUUGUCUCAGCAUUGAUUUGAAAACAUUUCUUAUAAAAUACGACGUUGAUGUUUUCAUGAUGUCACAUCUGUGUCAGCUUCUUGCAAACUAAAUCAUUUAGAAACCAA